AACGAACGCUGGCGGCAGGCCUAACACAUGCAAGUCGAGCGCCCCGCAAGGGGAGCGGCAGACGGGUGAGUAACGCGUGGGAAUCUACCUAGUUCUACGGAACAACUCAGGGAAACUUGAGCUAAUACCGUAUACGCCCUUCGGGGGAAAGAUUUAUCGGAAUUAGAUGAGCCCGCGUUGGAUUAGCUAGUUGGUGAGGUAAUGGCUCACCAAGGCGACGAUCCAUAGCUGGUCUGAGAGGAUGAUCAGCCACACUGGGACUGAGACACGGCCCAGACUCCUACAGGAGGCAGCAGUGGGGAAUAUUGGACAAUGGGCGCAAGCCUGAUCCAGCCAUGCCGCGUGAGUGAUGACGGCCUUAGGGUUGUAAAGCUCUUUCAACGGUGAAGAUAAUGACGGUAACCGUAGAAGAAGCCCCGGCUAACUUCGUG
RNAcentral lists this ribosomal RNA (431 nucleotides) under uncultured bacterium. RNAcentral describes it as "bacterial SSU rRNA". It matches the Rfam family "Bacterial small subunit ribosomal RNA", at positions 29 to 507 of the family's 1533-position model. The record is from RNAcentral.